AUGGAUCCACCAGUUACCACUUUAACGCUUUUUCAAAUUGAGCAAGCAAUUCUUAAUGUAGAGAACGCAAAGCUCCAGCAGGAGCAAACCCUGGCUGCCUUCUGGGAGCACAUGCCUCCUGUCGAGGAGGAGGUCCUGGUAAAGCGGAUACAAGAGCUCCGGGACCACAUUCGCGCUCUGGAAGAACAAAGGAGGGUUCUCAUCCGAGAGCGCGAAUUGCUGCUUAUCAGGGCGGCCUCCAUCAUCCGCAGGAGACCUGGGGGAAACUACUAA
RNAcentral lists this long non-coding RNA (273 nucleotides) under Vicia faba (fava bean). The record is from RNAcentral. Lineage: Eukaryota; Viridiplantae; Streptophyta; Magnoliopsida; Fabales; Fabaceae.